UCCUUUCUGGAGAUCUGAGAGCGACAUAGAGAUGAGUAAGCAAGUCUUACUACUAACAUCAUAUGUCAUGCUACUUGGAAACCUUGGUUUACGGUCCGCUAUCGAUCUUGAUAUUCAAAACUUAUUGCAAGGCUAAAGCAAAAGGCUAAAAGCCAAAAGCUAUAGGCCAGGAGAAUCGACCGGCAUCACCGGUUACAGGCAUAGAGGCUUUAAGCUUUAAACUUUAAACUUUUUAAGCUUCAAAGAANAGGGCUUGUAGCUCAGGUGGUUAGAGCGCUACACUGAUAAUGUAGAGGUCCGUGGUUCGAGUCCACGCAGGCCCACGAAGUGGAACUAAGUUGGACGAGAAUUUUAUGCUGACCGAGCGGANGGAGCGUUCAGUAAUCCACGCAGGCCCACAAUUACCUGAACUUCCAGCGAAAGCGUACGAUUGCAACCGAAUUANAUUUAGAAAGAAGGUUCGCCUUCCCCUAAAGCUUACAGACGGACNAGGGGGAAUUAGCUCACCUGGCUAGAGCGCCUGCUUUGCAAGCANGAGGUCAUCGGUUCGACUCCGAUAUUCUCCACAGAAGGAGUAAAGAGUAUUGAGAUGUUAGAAUUGAGAAUCAAAGCUUCAGAGAAGGGAAAAAAUAUCAGUCAAACGAGAUUGAUAAAACUUGAAAAGUUGAUAAUGAGUAGCAGGCAUAGUAGUCUGUCCCGGGUAAAAAGGGAUUGGACAGUUGACUAUGGACUGAAAUACUGGCAUUGAUGGAUGCACGGGUUAAUACUUGGGAGAGCCGUCCUGAGAUUGGCAGGUGCUGUAAACCGUCAAAAAGUUCAUUGACAUAUUGAUGAAAGAGUAGUAAAAGUAGGUGUAGAGAGUAGGAAUACUUUCUGCAUCGAUAAAAGUAAAAAGAGCAUGAUGUGCCAUGGGGCGCAUCAUGAAACGAGCGCAUAGGUGAGAUUGGUUUUCUUCGUGAGAAGGAGAUACAAUCAAUCGAAAGAGAAGUAAGAAAGGGCGUAUGG
This 1005-nucleotide transfer RNA is filed under the name uncultured bacterium. RNAcentral describes it as "16S-23S ribosomal RNA intergenic spacer". The stretch from base 250 to 323 matches the Rfam family "tRNA". The record is from RNAcentral.